Homo sapiens (human) is the source of this 576-nucleotide long non-coding RNA. The record is from Ensembl. Lineage: Eukaryota; Metazoa; Chordata; Mammalia; Primates; Hominidae.
CACCCUGGAGAAAGAAUCUUACAAAGAAUACUAAAGAGCAUCCAAGUGUGAAGAAUGAAACACACAGAUGAGCCCCAAGAGGAUGAGGAAGGGAGAGGCUGGUGGGGGUCUGAUUCUCAUCUCCACCUUAACAGAAUGCACAUGAAGUCCAGCCAUGGUGUAGCCAAGGAGACCCACUAAGACCACCAAAAGCUUGGAAAUGAGGAUGCAGGGGCAAAGGACGGCAUUAUAGGCGCAUACAUCUCUUCACACCAUGAAUGAUUUGAAGCUUGCAUGCUUUUGGAUUGCCCUGGUGAAGAUUUAGUUUCCAGCUCAAGAAAACCCAUGUCAGAAAAUCGUCCUUCAGCAUUCUCAGAGGAUAAAUAAAAAAGAUUGCUACUGAAAGAACCCAAUUUUGUUUUUCAAAAUAUAUGUGCAAAUAGACAUUGAAAAAAAUAUGGGCAUGAUAUAAUCAAAAUGGUAUAAAUUGUCAUGUAUGGAUAGAGGAUAAUAAUGAUUUCUAUUUUGGGGGAGGACUUUUUAAUUUUCUUGUUAGCGAACUUCUUUUGUAAUAAUAAAAAAUGAGUUUUUAAAGAA